Molecule: long non-coding RNA, 213 nt
Filed under: Lathyrus oleraceus (garden pea)
Lineage: Eukaryota; Viridiplantae; Streptophyta; Magnoliopsida; Fabales; Fabaceae
Description: Pisum sativum (pea) long non-coding RNA (PSAT_LNC013857)
Source: RNAcentral
GAAACUCUAAUCUGUUUUCUAUAGAAGCUUAGCUCUUAGGACAUUGGAUUAAAAUUAUCAACAACUCACAAUUGUUCCAAUCAAUUCACUUGGAUCAAUAUCCUUUCAUUUCACUCUCCACCAAUCAAAGUAAAAUAAUAAAAAGUAUAAAAAAAACAAAAAAACAUGGUAACGUGUAACUGGAUGACCAAUCCCUCACUACUUGAACUUCAU